Molecule: ribosomal RNA, 995 nt
Filed under: uncultured bacterium
Lineage: Bacteria
Description: bacterial SSU rRNA
Rfam family: Bacterial small subunit ribosomal RNA
Source: RNAcentral
UGGGGAAUAUUGCACAAUGGGGGAAACCCUGAUGCAGCGACGCCGCGUGGAGGAAGAAGGUCUUCGGAUUGUAAACUCCUGUUGUUGGGGAAGAUAAUGACGGUACCCAACAAGGAAGUGACGGCUAACUACGUGCCAGCAGCCGCGGUAAAACGUAGGUCACAAGCGUUGUCCGGAAUUACUGGGUGUAAAGGGAGCGCAGGCGGGGAGACAAGUUGGAAGUGAAAUCUAUGGGCUCAACCCAUAAACUGCUUUCAAAACUGUUUUUCUUGAGUAGUGCAGAGGUAGGCGGAAUUCCCGGUGUAGCGGUGGAAUGCGUAGAUAUCGGGAGGAACACCAGUGGCGAAGGCGGCCUACUGGGCACCAACUGACGCUGAGGCUCGAAAGUGUGGGUAGCAAACAGGAUUAGAUACCCUGGUAGUCCACACCGUAAACGAUGAUUACUAGGUGUUGGAGGAUUGACCCCUUCAGUGCCGCAGUUAACACAAUAAGUAAUCCACCUGGGGAGUACGACCGCAAGGUUGAAACUCAAAGGAAUUGACGGGGGCCCGCACAAGCAGUGGAGUAUGUGGUUUAAUUCGACGCAACGCGAAGAACCUUACCAAGUCUUGACAUCCCUUGACAGGCAUAGAAAUAUGUUUUCUCUUCGGAGCAAGGAGACAGGUGGUGCAUGGUUGUCGUCAGCUCGUGUCGUGAGAUGUUGGGUUAAGUCCCGCAACGAGCGCAACCCUUAUGGUCAGUUACUACGUAAGAGGACUCUGGCCAGACUGCCGUUGACAAAACGGAGGAAGGUGGGGAUGACGUCAAAUCAUCAUGCCCUUUAUGACUUGGGCUACACACGUACUACAAUGGCGUUAAACAAAGAGAAGCAAGACCGCGAGGUGGAGCAAAACUCAGAAACAACGUCCCAGUUCGGACUGCAGGCUGCAACUCGCCUGCACGAAGUCGGAAUUGCUAGUAAUCGUGGAUCAGCAUGCCACGGUGAAUACGUUCCC